GUUCCGAGAAGUUGUGGCUCAGCUUGCUUUGUCUACAUUAGUGGAAUCUUUAAGUCUUUCUGGUCUGUCUCAGCAUACUCACUGGCAGGCCCUAGACUACAUUACCCAAGUCAUUUUGCCGUCUUGGAAUCCUGAGUAUGUCAUCACUCUGUAUUGGAGAUGAGAUUGCUCAGAAACACUGAAUUCAGAAUGGGAUCUAGCAAGAUGGUAUUUCUGGAGCAAUAAGUCAUUUACUGAAUGAUUAUGCAAAGCAUAAAUUGCAUUGUAGUCCUAGAAUAAUACAAAGCUUCCCUUUAGUUGUUGCCGUAAAUUAAUAACUGGCAUUUUAAUGCACUAAAUGAAUUUUAGUAGUUAGAUUUAUAUCUUUGACUUCUAGGAAUUUCAACUACAUUAGAGUUCAUAUACACAAAAGGGGCAAGCCCUUUUCCACAGCAUUUCCAGCUUCUCCACAGAAACCUAGCCCCACAUGAGCAAAAGAUCACACUCUGUGCUUCAUCAAAGAGAUUACACAAUUACAGAUUCCAGCAUCUCCCAGGAGUCCUUUGAAUUUGGAUUAAGGUCUAUAAUUACGUGGGUAAGGGAAUAACUAGGUAAUUGGCUUUCUGCACCUGGAAUGUAUUCUCCUGGGUAUAAGAGGCUCCUUUUAAUCAGAAGUAUAUGGGAUGAAAGUGAACCCUGUCUCUUAAGGGGAGACUCCUUAAGAGGAGGAUUGGGGCCCUGUGUUUUAAUAGAUCUUCUCCACAAUCUUUAAUACCUAAGCUCCUUCCCCUUGUCCACUAAUUUGCUGUAGAAUUUUUCUAGCAUGUUUAUGAUGGUGUUCAGGGCACACUACCCCAAAAUAUAACACCUUGGCAUAUUGAAUGUUUUAAGCUGAUGGAAUUUGAGAAAUGGCAGGUGUGAGGACUCUGACCUUCCCAUGAAGCAGGUCAUAAGACCCUCAUGUGAGAGAUGCCCUCUCUAUACCUGGAGAAAAGAAGCAGUCUUAUUUGUGAAGACAGAGAGACGCCAAGAGGAAUCUAAAUGAAUAGGCCUUGGAACCCCAGACGCACGGGCCUUGUGCUGUCGCUGCCGUGGCACCCCUUCUAGAAGGACUCUAUUCUCUAUAACAGAAGUGGGAGCCUUGGACAACUGAACGCCUAUCUCUAGCUCAAGAAAUGUCAGCUCUUUUUUUUUUUUUGAGACUGUCACCCAGUCGGGAGUACAGUGGCGCCAUCUUGGCUCUCUGUAACCUCCACCUCCUGGGUUCAAGCGAUUCUCCUGCCUCAGCCUCCUGAGUAGCUGGGGCUACAGGUAUGCACCAUCACUCCUGGCUAAUUGUUGUAUUUUUAGUAGAUAAUGGGGUUUCACCAUGUUGGCCAGGGUGGUCUCAAACUCCUGACCUCAGGUGAUCUGCCUGCCUCGGCCUCCCAAAGUGCUGGGAUUACAGACGUGAGCCACCAUGCCCAGCCAAGAAAUGUCAAUUCUUUAUCGUAGCCUGGCUUUCCAUAUUUCUCACUAGGGUUUUUAUUCUCUAGUUUGUAAAUCACAUUUGGCGUUUGUAGAUCACUCCUUCCCUUUUAGUGGCAUUCUCUAUUAGGUGUCCAUCUCCCAAUAUGAAGAAACAGUUUUCUGCUUUUUCCUCCUUUAUCUGAUCCAUUUACAGAUUUAUUACAUUUAUAAUAGGCUAGGUAUUGGGGAUACAAAAAUGAAUAAGAUAUGGUCUGUUUUCAAAGGUAUGCAGAAACUUUUCUAUAUAUUCCUACUGACUUGUAUUUGUAUUUCUUGAAUUAAAAACA
This 1775-nucleotide long non-coding RNA is filed under the name Homo sapiens (human). RNAcentral's name for it is "SEC24B antisense RNA 1". The record is from RNAcentral. Lineage: Eukaryota; Metazoa; Chordata; Mammalia; Primates; Hominidae.